Long non-coding RNA from Dermacentor silvarum, 464 nucleotides. RefSeq lists it as uncharacterized. Lineage: Eukaryota; Metazoa; Arthropoda; Arachnida; Ixodida; Ixodidae. The transcript is spliced from 3 exons. The record is from RefSeq and is a predicted model, not a curated record.
AGGGAACAGCAGCCCUUUGUCUCGUAACGGUCCCUGACACCGCCUCUCCGACUUCUAAGAGCACACGGGUUUUUCCGGAAUCUUCCAAAAGAUGCUAGAACUUUUCUGAAGACCCCCCGUGGGGCUGUCGAGGAUGUUGCUAUCUCUACAAUAGCCGGAGAAGACGAAACAAGUUUUGCAAUGCACACGGACUGGCUCAGUUGUGAAUGUCACAAAUGCUCCCCUAACGAGGAUCAAAUCAAUGAAAGGAUGGCCUUGAUAAAUAAUAUUCAUGAGGCGACGAGGAAGUACCCAUACAUGAUGAGCUUUGAGAGGGUAAGUACGUUUGCUACUAUGUAUGAAACAGCAUUUACAUUAACUUAGCCUGCAUGGUUGUAGAGGCGGCUGCAUUCAAAAAGAACUAGAGCUUUUGUAAAUGGUUUAAAAACUAAUUUUAAUGCACACACAUGUUCUAGUGUACUAAA